GUUUUCCCUGGCUCACCGACUAGAACCACCCCGAUUGUUUUCCCGGGAUCACAAUCGAACCCUUACACGUUGGUUUUACACUCGGCUCACCAACCAACCUCUACACCGUUGGUUUUCCCUUUGGCUCACCAACAAACCUUAACCCCUUGAUUCAAUUCCUUGAUUGAAUCAAGUUACAAGAUAUUAAAAAACAAAGUUUAAAACAAAUCAAAGCUUCUUAAACAAGCAAAUAUAACAAUAUAAACAAAUAGAGUAAAGAGAAGCCCUC
RNAcentral lists this long non-coding RNA (268 nucleotides) under Phoenix dactylifera (date palm). Its description in RNAcentral is "long non-coding RNA (PDAC_LNC015860)". Lineage: Eukaryota; Viridiplantae; Streptophyta; Magnoliopsida; Arecales; Arecaceae. The record is from RNAcentral.